This 300-nucleotide long non-coding RNA is filed under the name Olea europaea subsp. europaea. The record is from RNAcentral. Lineage: Eukaryota; Viridiplantae; Streptophyta; Magnoliopsida; Lamiales; Oleaceae.
AUUGACAUCAACGAUUUCAUCGAUUUUUGGACUCAGAAUACACUGUACCCUUCUGUACAAAUAUAAAGCUCCAAAAACCCCCAAGCCACAAAGAAAGCAAAACACAGUUGCUUCGAUGGACGAGAUAACCCCCAAAUCAAAUACCAAUUCUUUCUCCUCACCAAGAAUCACUUAGAUCCACCCUUCACACAGAAAACUAACCCCCCAAGUCACAGAAGACUUCAAGGGAAUCACGAAGAAGACGAAGGAGAAUGAAAUAAAAAAGACACAUUUUUUAGAGAGUUCAAGUGACGAGAGGAA